GCAAGUCGAACGAGAGAGAAGGAGCUUGCUUCUUCGAUCGAGUGGCGAACGGGUGAGUAACGCGUGAGGAACCUGCCUCAAAGAGGGGGACAACAGUUGGAAACGACUGCUAAUACCGCAUAAGCCCACGGGUCGGCAUCGACCUGAGGGAAAAGGAGCAAUCCGCUUUGAGAUGGCCUCGCGUCCGAUUAGCUAGUUGGUGAGGUAACGGCCCACCAAGGCGACGAUCGGUAGCCGGACUGAGAGGUUGAACGGCCACAUUGGGACUGAGACACGGCCCAGACUCCUACGGGAGGCAGCAGUGGGGAAUAUUGCACAAUGGGGGAAACCCUGAUGCAGCGACGCCGCGUGGAGGAAGAAGGUCUUCGGAUUGUAAACUCCUGUUGUUGAGGAAGAUAAUGACGGUACUCAACAAGGAAGUGACGGCUAACUACGUGCCAGCAGCCGCGGUAAAACGUAGGUCACAAGCGUUGUCCGGAAUUACUGGGUGUAAAGGGAGCGCAGGCGGGAAGACAAGUUGGAAGUGAAAUCUAUGGGCUCAACCCAUAAACUGCUUUCAAAACUGUUUUUCUUGAGUAGUGCAGAGGUAGGCGGAAUUCCCGGUGUAG
Molecule: ribosomal RNA, 608 nt
Filed under: uncultured bacterium
Lineage: Bacteria
Description: bacterial SSU rRNA
Rfam family: Bacterial small subunit ribosomal RNA
Source: RNAcentral